RNAcentral lists this transfer RNA (76 nucleotides) under Syntrophomonadaceae bacterium. RNAcentral's name for it is "tRNA-Val". It matches the Rfam family "tRNA". Rfam says of the family: Transfer RNA (tRNA) molecules are approximately 80 nucleotides in length. Their secondary structure includes four short double-helical elements and three loops (D, anti-codon, and T loops). Further hydrogen bonds mediate the characteristic L-shaped molecular structure. tRNAs have two regions of fundamental functional importance: the anti-codon, which is responsible for specific mRNA codon recognition, and the 3' end, to which the tRNAs corresponding amino acid is attached (by aminoacyl-tRNA synthetases). tRNAs cope with the degeneracy of the genetic code in two manners: having more than one tRNA (with a specific anti-codon) for a particular amino acid; and 'wobble' base-pairing, i.e. permitting non-standard base-pairing at the 3rd anti-codon position. Lineage: Bacteria; Bacillati; Bacillota; Clostridia; Eubacteriales; Syntrophomonadaceae. The record is from RNAcentral.
GGGCGAUUAGCUCAGCUGGGAGAGCACCUGCCUUACAAGCAGGGGGUCAGAAGUUCGAGUCUUCUAUCGCCCACCA